Long non-coding RNA from Alligator sinensis (Chinese alligator), 659 nucleotides. RefSeq lists it as uncharacterized. The transcript is spliced from 5 exons. NCBI's taxonomy places the organism in Eukaryota, Metazoa, Chordata, Crocodylia, Alligatoridae. The record is from RefSeq and is a predicted model, not a curated record.
CUGCAAGCUGAUAACAGCCCUGAAACAGAACCAAUUGAAGGAGAUUCUUUUUAUCUACAGGUUAAAAUAAUAGGAAAGCAGGGAAUAUGCAAGGAGCAGAAUGCAGCUCUGACAUGAAGAAUUAGUCACUGUUGGAAAAGCAUUGCUUGAACUGUUGAAGGAAGAGCCUUGCUGUCCAUAAAAGCAACACAACAGAAACUGUACUUCCACAUGAUCUUGAAAACAGAGUGGUAACAUCUUGUCUUCUUUGAAGUUGGCAACCCCAGGGAUGUUCUGAAGUGUACUUGCUGUCUGUGGCAUAAAAGGCCUCGCCAUCAAUGGAAUGCAAAGGAACUGAGCUGAAGAAGAGGAUCUGCCACAAACACUUCAGUGAACAAAUUAAAGAGACAACCUCUGUCCUGCGGGAGUUGUAAUCUAAGUCCCGUGUAGACUGGCAUAUGAGAACAGCCCUAUGGUCUGCAACUCUACUUUACAGCUGGAGGAUAAUCACCUAACUUGAGACUCUCCACAAUGACUAAGAGCCAGAACUUCUUCCAGCAAAGACUUCAGACUCAAAACAGAUCAUACUGCAUAAGGACAGAGAAGAGCAAUUGGUUGUUAUAACACAACCAUGGUAACAUCUCAGCACUCAGCUAUCAUUCCAGAUGGGAAAUAAGAGG